Molecule: ribosomal RNA, 485 nt
Filed under: Salmonella enterica subsp. enterica serovar Oranienburg
Lineage: Bacteria; Pseudomonadati; Pseudomonadota; Gammaproteobacteria; Enterobacterales; Enterobacteriaceae
Also listed under: 1 other name
Description: partial 16S ribosomal RNA
Rfam family: Bacterial small subunit ribosomal RNA
Source: RNAcentral
AAAUUGAAGAGUUUGAUCAUGGCUCAGAUUGAACGCUGGCGGCAGGCCUAACACAUGCAAGUCGAACGGUAGCACAGAGAGCUUGCUCUCGGGUGACGAGUGGCGGACGGGUGAGUAAUGUCUGGGAAACUGCCUGAUGGAGGGGGAUAACUACUGGAAACGGUGGCUAAUACCGCAUAACGUCGCAAGACCAAAGAGGGGGACCUUCGGGCCUCUUGCCAUCAGAUGUGCCCAGAUGGGAUUAGCUUGUUGGUGAGGUAACGGCUCACCAAGGCGACGAUCCCUAGCUGGUCUGAGAGGAUGACCAGCCACACUGGAACUGAGACACGGUCCAGACUCCUACGGGAGGCAGCAGUGGGGAAUAUUGCACAAUGGGCGCAAGCCUGAUGCAGCCAUGCCGCGUGUAUGAAGAAGGCCUUCGGGUUGUAAAGUACUUUCAGCGGGGAGGAAGGUGUUGUGGUUAAUAACCGCAGCAAUUGACGUUA